AGCCAGCUGGUGCAGUGGUUUGAGCAUUAGACUAUUACUCUAAAGAUGAGGGUUCAAUUCCCAGUUCAGUCA
RNAcentral lists this transfer RNA (72 nucleotides) under Phrynosoma platyrhinos (Desert horned lizard). RNAcentral's name for it is "tRNA-OTHER". Lineage: Eukaryota; Metazoa; Chordata; Lepidosauria; Squamata; Phrynosomatidae. The record is from RNAcentral.